UACUGAGGUCCCAAGCGUUGUUCGGAUUCACUGGGCGUAAAGGGUGCGUAGGCGGUCGUGUAAGUCUGAUGUGAAAUCUCCAAGCUCAACUUGGAAAUGGCAUCGGAUACUAUUCGGCUCGAGGAAUGGAGGGGAGACUGGAAUACUUGGUGUAGCAGUGAAAUGCGCAGAUAUCAGGAGGAACACCGGUGGCGAAGGCGGGUCUCUGGGCAGUAACUGACGCUGAGGAGCGAAAGCGUGGGGAGCGAACAGG
This 253-nucleotide ribosomal RNA is filed under the name uncultured bacterium. Its description in RNAcentral is "partial 16S ribosomal RNA". It matches the Rfam family "Bacterial small subunit ribosomal RNA", at positions 524 to 776 of the family's 1533-position model. The record is from RNAcentral.